GCUAUGAUCGUUAAUGUUGACAUGUCAAGAUAUGUAGUUGGUGAGAAUAGAUGCGUAAAUAAAGGGUAGAGACUAAUAUGUAGGAGUGUAAGAGAAUUGAUGAAAUUAACAUAGUGGUUUAACAAUAUCGUACACCAUUAAAAAAAUUAAGAUAUUAUCUUUUAGGAUUCAAAUUUUCUGAAUUAUAUUUAACAAGAGUUUUUCAUAAGACAGCAA
Molecule: long non-coding RNA, 216 nt
Filed under: Brassica napus (rape)
Lineage: Eukaryota; Viridiplantae; Streptophyta; Magnoliopsida; Brassicales; Brassicaceae
Description: long non-coding RNA (BNAP_LNC004189)
Source: RNAcentral